This 480-nucleotide ribosomal RNA is filed under the name uncultured bacterium. Its description in RNAcentral is "bacterial SSU rRNA". It matches the Rfam family "Bacterial small subunit ribosomal RNA", at positions 28 to 507 of the family's 1533-position model. The record is from RNAcentral. RNAcentral also lists the same sequence under 1 other name.
GACGAACGCUGGCGGCGUGCCUAAUACAUGCAAGUCGAGCGGGGAUUAUGCUUGAUCGCUUCGGUGAGACGGCAUAUAUCCUAGCGGCGGACGGGUGAGUAACGCGUGGGUAAUCUACCUCGUAGUUCGGGAUAACAGGCCGAAAGGCUUGCUAAUACCGGAUGAGUUCAUGCUUAUGCAUAUAGGCAUGAAGAAAGGGCUAGCCCGCUAUGAGAUGAGCCCGCGUCCCAUUAGCUUGUUGGUGGGGUAAUGGCCUACCAAGGCAACGAUGGGUAGCCGGCCUGAGAGGGUGUACGGCCACACUGGGACUGAGACACGGCCCAGACUCCUACGGGGGGCAGCAGUAGGGAAUUUUCGGCAAUGGGCGAAAGCCUGACCGAGCGACGCCGCGUGAGGGACGAAGGCCUUCGGGUUGUAAACCUCUGUCUGGGGGGAUGAGAACGGACGGUACCCCCGGAGGAAGCCCCGGCUAACUACGUG